AGUCUGACCUGCCCUCUGAUAUAUUAUAUUGAAUGGCCGCGAUAAUUUGAUCGUGCAAAGGUAGCAUAAUCAUUAGUUUUUUAAUUGAGAACUGGAAUGAAAGGUCGAACGAGAAAAAAACUGUCUCGAUUUAAUUUAAUUAGAAUUUUAUUUUUAAGUAAGAAAGCUUAAAUUUUUUUAAAAGACGAGAAGACCCUAUAGAGUUUUAUAAUUAUAGAUUUAUUUUUUAGUUUAAGAAUUUUAUUUUAAGAUUGAUAAAUAAUUAUUUGAUUGGGGCGAUUGAAAAAUUUAAUGAACUUUUUUUAUAUAAAUACAUUGAUAUAUGAUUAAAUGAUCCAUAAUUUAUGAUUAAAAGAUUAAAUUACCUUAGGGAUAACAGCGUAAUUUUUUUUGAGAGUUCUUAUCGAAAAAAAAGUUUGCGACCUCGAUGUUGGAUUAAAAUAAACUUUUGGUGUAGAAGCUAAAAUAGUUAGGUCUGUUCGACCUUUAAAAUUUUACAUGAUCUGAGUUUAAACCGGUGUAAGCCAGGUUGGUUUCUAUCUUUAA
This 546-nucleotide ribosomal RNA is filed under the name Onthophagus laminatus. RNAcentral's name for it is "partial 16S ribosomal RNA". It matches the Rfam family "Bacterial large subunit ribosomal RNA", at positions 1851 to 2647 of the family's 2925-position model. The record is from RNAcentral. Lineage: Eukaryota; Metazoa; Arthropoda; Insecta; Coleoptera; Scarabaeidae.